Molecule: non-coding RNA, 69 nt
Organism: Podarcis lilfordi (Lilford's wall lizard)
Lineage: Eukaryota; Metazoa; Chordata; Lepidosauria; Squamata; Lacertidae
Source: the annotation of a GenBank genome assembly
GUAUAGCUCAGUUGGUAGAGCAUGAGACUCUUAAUCUCAGCGCCAUGGGUUGAAAACCUAUGUUGGGCA